This 549-nucleotide long non-coding RNA is filed under the name Prunus persica (peach). RNAcentral's name for it is "long non-coding RNA (PPER_LNC003977)". The record is from RNAcentral. Lineage: Eukaryota; Viridiplantae; Streptophyta; Magnoliopsida; Rosales; Rosaceae.
GUCGACACAGAAGAAAAGAAGGGGAAAAAAAAAAACAAAAGAGAAAACAGAGCAGCCAAACAUGGCAGUGAUUUCCCUAGCCAAUAAUAUAUCAAGGCCUUUUCCUCAACCCCCUUCCUCAAUAUCUCACGGAUAUUCCUCUCGCAAAGUCUCCCGGGUCUGCUUCACCUCUGCCUUCAAAUUCUCCGGGGUAAUUAAUUUACACUAACACUCUGUUUCUUCAUCUCAUGUAGGCAUGUUUAAUUUCAAUGGAACUUAUAUUUUGAAUUUCAGGGUCGAAAUGCGUCGGAAGAGAACAGGGGAUAUUAUUCAAGGGUUGACAGCAGGGGAUAUGCCGACAAGAACUGGAGGAAAAAGGAACGAGACGUGAGUAGGAAGGCAAAAGAAACCGUGGAAGAUGGCCUGGAAAAAAGCAAGCAAAAAGCAGAGGAAAUCAAAGACGCAACCAAGGAGUAUGCACAGGGCGUAGCGCAGACGGUGGCAGAUAAUACAAAACAGGGAACAAACACAGCAGCCGAGACAGCAGAGAGCGCAAAGGAGAGAGCCAAA